UACGUAGGUGGCAAGCGUUGUCCGGAUUUACUGGGCGUAAAGCGAACGCAGGCGGGCCUUUAAGUAGGAAGUGAAAGGUUGGAGCUCAACUCUAACACUGCUCCCUAUACUGGAGGCCUUGAGUUUCGGAGAGGAAGACGGAACUGCAGGUGUAGCGGUGAAAUGCGUUGAUAUCUGCAGGAACACCAAUGGCGAAAGCAGUCUUCUGGACGAAUACUGACGCUCAGGUUCGAAAGCCAGGGUAGCAAACAGG
Molecule: ribosomal RNA, 253 nt
Filed under: uncultured bacterium
Lineage: Bacteria
Description: partial 16S ribosomal RNA
Rfam family: Bacterial small subunit ribosomal RNA
Source: RNAcentral